This 492-nucleotide ribosomal RNA is filed under the name uncultured bacterium. RNAcentral describes it as "partial 16S ribosomal RNA". It matches the Rfam family "Bacterial small subunit ribosomal RNA", at positions 29 to 507 of the family's 1533-position model. The record is from RNAcentral.
AGUGAACGCUGGCGGUAGGCCUAACACAUGCAAGUCGAACGGCAGCACAGUAAGAGCUUGCUCUUACGGGUGGCGAGUGGCGGACGGGUGAGGAAUACAUCGGAAUCUACUUUUUCGUGGGGGAUAACGUAGGGAAACUUACGCUAAUACCGCAUACGACCUACGGGUGAAAGCAGGGGAUCUUCGGACCUUGCGCGAUUGAAUGAGCCGAUGUCGGAUUAGCUAGUUGGCGGGGUAAAGGCCCACCAAGGCGACGAUCCGUAGCUGGUCUGAGAGGAUGAUCAGCCACACUGGAACUGAGGCACGGUCCAGACUCCUACGGGAGGCAGCAGUGGGGAAUAUUGGACAAUGGGCGCAAGCCUGAUCCAGCCAUACCGCGUGGGUGAAGAAGGCCUUCGGGUUGUAAAGCCCUUUUGUUGGGAAAGAAAAGCAGCAGGUUAAUACCCCGCUGUUCUGACAGUACCCAAAGAAUAAGCACCGGCUAACUUCGUG